GACGAACGCUGGCGGCGUGCCUAAUACAUGCAAGUCGAACGCAGUGGGGACGGGUGAGUAACCCGUGGGUAACCUCCCAUCAGAGGGGAUAACACUUGGACACAGGUGCUAAACCGAUACUGAUGGAUGGACCCGCGGUGCAUUAGCUAGUGGUUGAGGUAACGGCUCACCAAGGCCACGAUGCAUAGCCGACCGGAGAGGGUGAUCGGACACACUGGGACUGAGAAACGGCCCAGACUCCGUCGGGAGGCAGCAGUAGGGACUCUUCGGAAAUGGACGAAAGUCUGACCGAGCAACGCCGCGGGAGUGAAUAAGGUUUUCGGAGCGUAAAACUCUGUUGUUAGGGAAGCGGUAUCUAACCAGAAAGCCACGGCUAACUCCGUGCCAGCAGCCGCGGUAAUAC
Molecule: ribosomal RNA, 403 nt
Filed under: uncultured bacterium
Lineage: Bacteria
Description: partial 16S ribosomal RNA
Rfam family: Bacterial small subunit ribosomal RNA
Source: RNAcentral